Molecule: ribosomal RNA, 533 nt
Filed under: uncultured Staphylococcus sp.
Lineage: Bacteria; Bacillati; Bacillota; Bacilli; Caryophanales; Staphylococcaceae
Description: bacterial SSU rRNA
Rfam family: Bacterial small subunit ribosomal RNA
Source: RNAcentral
AACCGCAUGGUUCAAUAGUGAAAGACGGUUUUGCUGUCACUUAUAGAUGGAUCCGCGCCGCAUUAGCUAGUUGGUAAGGUAACGGCUUACCAAGGCGACGAUGCGUAGCCGACCUGAGAGGGUGAUCGGCCACACUGGAACUGAGACACGGUCCAGACUCCUACGGGAGGCAGCAGUAGGGAAUCUUCCGCAAUGGGCGAAAGCCUGACGGAGCAACGCCGCGUGAGUGAUGAAGGUCUUCGGAUCGUAAAACUCUGUUAUUAGGGAAGAACAAAUGUGUAAGUAACUAUGCACGUCUUGACGGUACCUAAUCAGAAAGCCACGGCUAACUACGUGCCAGCAGCCGCGGUAAUACGUAGGUGGCAAGCGUUAUCCGGAAUUAUUGGGCGUAAAGCGCGCGUAGGCGGUUUUUUAAGUCUGAUGUGAAAGCCCACGGCUCAACCGUGGAGGGUCAUUGGAAACUGGAAAACUUGAGUGCAGAAGAGGAAAGUGGAAUUCCAUGUGUAGCGGUGAAAUGCGCAGAGAUAUGGAGG